UUUACCGCACCCCGCGGAGGGAGGGAGGCGGGUGCGGCGGGCAAGCGGUAGCCUGCCGACGCAAACGUGAGCGCGUAAAAGGCGGAACCGGCAGGUUGUAUUACUCGAGCUUGCCUGGCGCACGACGGACGACGCACGCAGAGCAUUCAAAGGUGGGUGAUGCAAGAGGCGGUGCUGAGGGGUCGAGAGUUUAAGGAGUUUGGUACCGGCGGCGCCGGAGUGCCGUGGAGACGAGGCGGUGCCGCGACGACAGAGGGAGGCGGCGGCGGCGCGGGUAGGCGGUCUCCCAGCCAAUGCCGAUGCCGAGGAGGAGGCGGGCGGCCACCCGGGUGGCCGGCCUGCGGCGCAGGGCCUAGGCCGCGGACUGCUGAGCGAGCUCCUGUCGCUCCCACUCGACGCGGAUGAGGUGGCCGCGACUUCGUUAGUGACGUACAAGGACCUUGGUUUUACAGUAUACGUCACUACAUGGACACGAACACCUCAAAACCCGGAGUACCACACCUGGAACAUUUUACCAGGUAGCUUAACAGCUGCUCUAACGCCCGCUCAUGCGACCUUCCUAUUUUACGAUAUUCGAACUGUGACUACUAAUGGGUGUUUGACGUUUGAGGAUGUUAUAGCUCUCCCAAGGCUGACAAAAUGAUAAGUUCCUACCUCUCUUUUAUGUAUCAUAAUGACCUUGAGACGGUUUUCGGCAAAUACACUCCCGGUAACUCUUAAGAAAGAACGUUGUCACUGGUAAAACCAAUGUUGCAAUAUAACAAUGAACCAGGUCUAAGUAUAAGGGUAUAUGAACUAAAAAGUGACGGUCGAUCACCUUUCUCAUCCCUUCCAUUUCAACCUCAAUGUUGAACUCGAAGAACAAUAGGGAAUCGAUGUGUUGAAUGACAUUUAUAAGUACAUGAAGACUUUUUUUUCCUAACGACCUGGAGAAAUAAAAUGGAACUCCCAACAUUACUUAGUACUAACAAUAGUAACUACAGUUUGGUUGUCCCAGCUUAUAAAUUCCGGGAAUCUCUAUAGAACAAUUUACUCCAGUUCAAUUCUAAAAAGAAUAUGAAAUGAAAUACACGGAGUGUAGUACGUGGCCCGACGGGAAAAAAAAGAAGAAGAAAACGUGGGGAAUACAUAAUUUUAAAGGCACGAUAAAAAGUCUCGAUCUCAUUUAUGAAUUAGUAAAUCAAGGACAUAUGUCUUCGUAGAUUCUAGAUUGAUAACUUAAAAUAGAAGACUUUUCCAAAGAGAGACAAUACAGUCACGUUAACAACAAAGACACCCAGACGAUUAUGACUCGAUUAACAGGGUCUUGAAGAAGAAUAAUGGGAAAUCGAACGGAUCCUACAUUAGAAAUCGAGAGGAACCCGACUGUUUCUUCUGGGUGUGUGAUUCCAUUUUCGACUCUUUCUUUUUAUCAAAUCUAAUCCACGUCCUUAUAACAAUUCAUGAAACCGUCCGCCAUAGUUGUCUGACCACGGUACCUAAAAAUUAGAAAGGUACGACUUCUGAUCACGUAUCGUUCACCGAGGCUCACCGGACUCACCUUGGUUACAUCGUGUUCAACGUCGACGAGGAUGUCACCACGACAACCGAUCACCGAUGUAGGUAAAUGGCACAGAAAGUCUCAAACUCGAUACAUCUUAUCACUCCUCCAUAUCGUGUCAUUAUACUAGCCUUAAAGGCCGCUAGUGGUCUUACAAGUCCAUGUGGAUUUACGUCGACUUUGUGUAGUUCACGGUGUACUACCUCUAGUUUCAAGACCCUAGCAGACUACUGACGAACUGAAUUUAGUUAAACGUCUGUGGUUACCACUACCCCGACGUGAUCUCUUAUAAAAACGACUUCAAAGAUAAACACUUUGAUACUCGGAUAAAAGAGGUUGCCAUAAGUCAAACCUCGAGACUUCAACACACCCGAAAUAAAUUUUAAGUCAGAUUACGAUGUGCACCAAAGUUUCCAUGACCUCACUUCGAAAUCUGCGUCCACCACAUACACCACGAAUGUGAAAAAAAAGGGCCUAAAUCCUGUACCUAGUAGGUAUACAUAGCAUUUUUAGUAGGUGAAACGGGAAAAGACUUCAUAAUAAACAUUGACAGUACCUUUAUAGUUAUUGUAGACCUUUUCGU
This 2123-nucleotide ribosomal RNA is filed under the name Triticum aestivum (bread wheat). RNAcentral describes it as "partial small subunit ribosomal RNA". The record is from RNAcentral. Lineage: Eukaryota; Viridiplantae; Streptophyta; Magnoliopsida; Poales; Poaceae.